ACAACGUGGAUACACUCGGGAGGUCACUCUCCCCGGGCUCUGUCCAGGUGGCAUAGGGGAGCAUAGGGCUCUGCCCCGUGACGUACAGUCCCUUUCCACCAACGUUGAGAUAAAGCUGGGCUUUGUUGUCUGCGCCUGCAUAUUCCUACGACUUCUCAGAGUCCUGUGGACAAUGACUGGGGAGACAAACCAUGCAGGAGACAGCU
RNAcentral lists this small nucleolar RNA (206 nucleotides) under Microcebus murinus (gray mouse lemur). RNAcentral's name for it is "Small nucleolar RNA SNORA73 family (ENSMICG00000044892.1)". It matches the Rfam family "Small nucleolar RNA SNORA73 family". Rfam says of the family: U17 (SNORA73A and SNORA73B) also known as E1 belongs to the H/ACA class of small nucleolar RNAs (snoRNAs). The record is from Rfam by way of RNAcentral. Lineage: Eukaryota; Metazoa; Chordata; Mammalia; Primates; Cheirogaleidae.